This 250-nucleotide ribosomal RNA is filed under the name uncultured prokaryote. Its description in RNAcentral is "partial 16S rRNA". It matches the Rfam family "Bacterial small subunit ribosomal RNA", at positions 525 to 775 of the family's 1533-position model. The record is from RNAcentral.
ACGUAGGAGGCAAACGUUAUCCGGAUUUACUGGGCGUAAAGCGCGUGUAGGUGGUACUGUAAGUAGGGCGUGAAAGCUCCUGGCUCAACUGGGAGAGGCCGUUCUAAACUACAGAACUAGGGGAUGGUAGAGGGAGGUGGAAUUCCAGGUGUGCGGGUGGAUUCCCCGAUAAUCUGAAGGACACCCGGGGGCGAGGGCGGCCUCUGGACCAAUCCCGGGACUCAGGCGGCGAAGGUUAGGUAGCAAACGG